UACGUAGGGGGCAAGCGUUGUCCGGAUUUAUUGGGCGUAAAGAGCGUGUAGGCGGCCAUACAGGUCAGCUGUGAAAACUCGAGGCUCAACCUCGAGACGUCGGUUGAAACCGUAUGGCUAGAGUCCGGAAGAGGAGAGUGGAAUUCCCGGUGUAGCGGUGAAAUGCGCAGAUAUCAGGAGGAACACCGGUGGCGAAGGCGGCCUUCUGGACGGUAACUGACGCUGAGACGCGAAAGCGUGGGGAGCAAACAGG
Molecule: ribosomal RNA, 253 nt
Filed under: uncultured bacterium
Lineage: Bacteria
Description: partial 16S ribosomal RNA
Rfam family: Bacterial small subunit ribosomal RNA
Source: RNAcentral